Molecule: ribosomal RNA, 594 nt
Filed under: Macrophthalmus banzai
Lineage: Eukaryota; Metazoa; Arthropoda; Malacostraca; Decapoda; Macrophthalmidae
Description: partial 16S ribosomal RNA
Source: RNAcentral
GGAGAGAAUAAGAAAAAUAAUUUUCGUAAUUUUAGUAAUUUUUAAUGAAAAUAAAGUAAAGACUAAAGAGAAAAGUACUGUGAAGGAAAGUUGUUAAAACUUUUUAUAGAAGAAGUAAAAUUUUGUGCCUCGUGUAUCAGAAAAAGUUUAUAUAGUUUAGUUAUAAUAAGUAUCUCGAAAUAAAAUACAGUAAUUUUUAUAAAAUUUUCUUUUUAGAAAAAAAGAAUUUAAUAUAAAAUUUAAAGUGAAAUGCUAGCUGAGUUUUAUGAUAUCUAGUUUUUUUAAAAAUAAAUUUAAUUUAAUUUUUAUAAAGAAAAAGUUAUAAAAUUAAAUGGUAGGGGGGAUUAGCUCUUUACGGAAAAGAUAAUGAAAUAGUUAAAUAAGAGUAAAUUAUAUAUAAAUUAGGCUUAGAAGUAGCUAUAUUGAAAAAGUGUUUUAACUAAAUUAUAAUUGCUUGAAUAUUUAAAAUAAAACUUUUCUUAGGUAUAAAAAAAUGGCUUAAACAAAACAAAACAAGAUAUGAUGAUUUUAUUAGUAAAAUUUAUUGAGUAAAUAAAGAUAUUAAAAGGUAAAAAUUGUUUAAAAAAAUAAGUA